GACGAACGCUGGCGGCGUGCUUAACACAUGCAAGUCGAACGGAAAGGCCCUGCUUUUGUGGGGUGCUCGAGUGGCGAACGGGUGAGUAACACGUGAGUAACCUGCCCUUGACUUUGGGAUAACUUCAGGAAACUGGGGCUAAUACCGGAUAGGAGCUCCUGCUGCAUGGUGGGGGUUGGAAAGUUUCGGCGGUUGGGGAUGGACUCGCGGCUUAUCAGCUUGUUGGUGGGGUAGUGGCUUACCAAGGCUUUGACGGGUAGCCGGCCUGAGAGGGUGACCGGCCACAUUGGGACUGAGAUACGGCCCAGACUCCUACGGGAGGCAGCAGUGGGGAAUAUUGCACAAUGGGCGGAAGCCUGAUGCAGCAACGCUGCGUGCGGGAUGACGGCCUUCGGGUUGUAAACCGCUUUCGCCUGUGACGAAGCGUGAGUGACGGUAAUGGGUAAAGAAGCACAGGAUAACUACGUG
RNAcentral lists this ribosomal RNA (468 nucleotides) under uncultured bacterium. RNAcentral's name for it is "partial 16S ribosomal RNA". It matches the Rfam family "Bacterial small subunit ribosomal RNA", at positions 28 to 507 of the family's 1533-position model. The record is from RNAcentral.